GUGCUUGCUUCAGCAGCACAUACACUAAAAUUGAAAAAACACAGAGGAGAUUAGCAUGGCCCCUGCUCAAAGAUGUCAUACAAAUUGGUGAAGUGUUCUAUAUUUUU
Molecule: small nuclear RNA, 107 nt
Organism: Suricata suricatta (meerkat)
Lineage: Eukaryota; Metazoa; Chordata; Mammalia; Carnivora; Herpestidae
Source: Ensembl